GACGAACGCUGGCGGCGUGCUUAACACAUGCAAGUCGAACGGAAAGGCCCUGCUUUUGUGGGGUGCUCGAGUGGCGAACGGGUGAGUAACACGUGAGUAACCUGCCCUUGACUUUGGGAUAACUUCAGGAAACUGGGGCUAAUACCGGAUAGGAGCUCCUGCUGCAUGGUGGGGGUUGGAAAGUUUCGGCGGUUGGGGAUGGACUCGCGGCUUAUCAGCUUGUUGGUGGGGUAGUGGCUUACCAAGGCUUUGACGGGUAGCCGGCCUGAGAGGGUGACCGGCCACAUUGGGACUGAGAUACGGCCCUGACUCCUACGGGAGGCAGCAGUGGGGAAUAUUGCACAAUGGGCGGAAGCCUGAUGCAGCAACGCCGCGUGCGGGAUGAAGGCCUUCGGGUUGUAAACCGCUUUCGCCUGUGACGAAGCGUGAGUGACGGUAAUGGGUAAAGAAGCACCGGCUAACUACGUG
This 468-nucleotide ribosomal RNA is filed under the name uncultured bacterium. RNAcentral describes it as "partial 16S ribosomal RNA". It matches the Rfam family "Bacterial small subunit ribosomal RNA", at positions 28 to 507 of the family's 1533-position model. The record is from RNAcentral.